AGUGAGCGCUGGCGGUAGGCCUAACACAUGCAAGUCGAACGGCAGCACAGUAAGAGCUUGCUCUUACGGGUGGCGAGUGGCGGACGGGUGAGGAAUACAUCGGAAUCUACUUUUUCGUGGGGGAUAACGUAGGGAAACUUACGCUAAUACCGCAUACGACCUACGGGUGAAAGCAGGGGAUCUUCGGACCUUGCGCGAUUGAAUGAGCCGAUGUCGGAUUAGCUAGUUGGCGGGGUAAAGGCCCACCAAGGCGACGAUCCGUAGCUGGUCUGAGAGGAUGAUCAGCCACACUGGAACUGAGACACGGUCCAGACUCCUACGGGAGGCAGCAGUGGGAAUAUUGGACAAUGGGCGCAAGCCUGAUCCAGCCAUACCGCGUGGGUGAAGAAGGCCUUCGGGUUGUAAAGCCCUUUUGUUGGGAAAGAAAAGCAGCAGGUUAAUACCCCGCUGUUCUGACGGUACCCAAAGAAUAAGCACCGGCUAACUUCGUG
This 491-nucleotide ribosomal RNA is filed under the name uncultured bacterium. Its description in RNAcentral is "partial 16S ribosomal RNA". It matches the Rfam family "Bacterial small subunit ribosomal RNA", at positions 29 to 507 of the family's 1533-position model. The record is from RNAcentral.